UUUUUAAAGGAUACUCUUGGGAGACCACCUGCAACAGAAGUUCCACUAGUAGACCAUUGUAAAUUCAAAUACCUCUUCAAUUUUCGAGGAGUUGCAGCCAGUUUUCGUUUCAAACACCUUUUCCUGUGUGGUUCUUUGAUCUUUCAUGUUGGAGAAGAUUGGCAAGAAUUCUUCUAUCCACAACUGAAACCUUGGGUUCACUAUAUCCCAGUUCAAUCUGAUCUUUCUAAUGUGAGAGAGCUAUUGGAAUUUGUAAGUGAAAAUGAUGAUGUUGCUCAAAAAAUUUCUGAGAGG
Non-coding RNA from Notechis scutatus (mainland tiger snake), 294 nucleotides. Lineage: Eukaryota; Metazoa; Chordata; Lepidosauria; Squamata; Elapidae. The record is from RefSeq and is a predicted model, not a curated record.